Non-coding RNA from Elusimicrobia bacterium GWA2_56_46, 390 nucleotides. Lineage: Bacteria; Pseudomonadati; Elusimicrobiota. The record is from Rfam.
GAUCGCGGACGGAGGGUCGCUUCUCCCGCUUGCGGGGGGAGAGGAACUUCCGAACUCCAUAAGGCAAGGCGCCGGUCCAAAGCCGUUAAGCGGCCAUAGGCCGGGAGGCCGGGGCCAGAUCCCCGGUUUACGGAAAGUGCAACAGAAAGUAUACCGCCGGAGGCCGCAAGGCUUCAGGUAAGGGUGAAAAGGUGCGGUAAGAGCGCACCGUUUGCCGGGCGACCGGCAAAGCAUUGCAAACCCCGCCCGGAGCAAGGCCAAAUAUGCGUUACGGACUGCCCGUCCUCCGCCCGCAAGGGCGGAAGCGCAGAGUGGGCCGCACAAGAUAAAUGAUCCUCUCUAUGCCGCAAGGCAUAAAGACAGAAUUCGGGGUACAGUCCGCGAUCAAAA